RNAcentral lists this long non-coding RNA (402 nucleotides) under Homo sapiens (human). RNAcentral's name for it is "non-protein coding LINC00115:7". Lineage: Eukaryota; Metazoa; Chordata; Mammalia; Primates; Hominidae. The record is from RNAcentral.
UUAAGGGUUAAUGUUGCUUGAAUGUAAGCAUAAUAAAUAUUCAGCAUGUCUCCUAAGACCUGGAGUAUCAUCAGAGACCAAGCUUGGAAAACCACAAAGAAUGACGCCCAGUUUCUAAGAGUCAUUCCGUGCUUUACAAUCAGCCCACAACCACCGAGUCCCAGGAAGCCCAGCCGAGACCGCGGCAGGUCCUGACGCAGCAUCAGCCUGAGUCUGAGCCCAGAGGAAGCUUCUGCUGCCACAAUUGCUGCGUGUGCUCAUGGCUUGGGUGCAGGCCCAACCACAGCGGACCAAGGGCAGGCUGAGAUUUGGCCUGGACUGGAGGGCUGUCUCAAGGAGGUAUCUUAAAUAGUGAAGAUGGAGAAAUAGUCAAUAAUGAAGAGCAUGAAUAUGCAUCCAAAA